CAGAGCAUCUGGACUCUGUCAGAGCAUCUGAACUCUGCAGCAGGCUUUCCUGAAGUGGAGUUGGAGAUAGCAUCUCAGUAAAUCCUGUACCCACUACUUAUUGAGGACACACCCUGUUGACUGCUAAAAAUUUUCAUGGGACACAAUUCUGGGAAGUGAGACAUUAGGAGAAGUGAGCUGUCCUCUCCUGACAAGAGAUGUGGUUGGCAGGCUGUGAGGAGAGGAGGAGUUACAAGAGUAAAAAGGUCUCUCUCUAGAAGAGAAUUCACUAAAGAGUCUGGCACUGUUUUCCACCUGAUAAGAGACACUUACCAUCUAUUCUCUGAAGCUUGCUACCUGGAGGCUUCAUUUGCGUAAUAAAAACCUUGGUCUCCAGAACCCCUUAUCAUAAUCCAGACACUCUUUUGUAUUGAUUCCAGGACUUUAGAUAACUCUUUCAACCAGUUGCCAAUGAGAAAAUUUUUGAAUCCACCUAUGACCUGGAAGCACCUCCAUGGCCAACUUCGAGUUCUCCCGCCUUUCCAGACCAAAUCAAUGUAUACAUGUAUUGAUUGAUGUUUGCUUGUAACU
Cercocebus atys (sooty mangabey) is the source of this 570-nucleotide long non-coding RNA. RefSeq lists it as uncharacterized. The transcript is spliced from 3 exons. Lineage: Eukaryota; Metazoa; Chordata; Mammalia; Primates; Cercopithecidae. The record is from RefSeq and is a predicted model, not a curated record.